This 541-nucleotide ribosomal RNA is filed under the name uncultured Glomeraceae. RNAcentral describes it as "SSU rRNA". It matches the Rfam family "Eukaryotic small subunit ribosomal RNA", at positions 548 to 1091 of the family's 1831-position model. Lineage: Eukaryota; Fungi; Glomeromycota; Glomeromycetes; Glomerales; Glomeraceae. The record is from RNAcentral.
UUGGAGGGCAAGUCUGGUGCCAGCAGCCGCGGUAAUUCCAGCUCCAAUAGCGUAUAUUAAAGUUGUUGCAGUUAAAAAGCUCGUAGUUGAAUUUCGGGAUCAAUACGUCGGUCGUGCUUCGGUACGUACUGGCGUAAUUGAUUUCUCCCUUCUGACGAACCAUGAUGUCAUUAACUUGGUGUCAUGGGAAAUCAGGACUGUUACUUUGAAAAAAUUAGAGUGUUUAAAGCAGGCUCACGCUUGAAUACAUUAGCAUGGAAUAAUGAAAUAGGACGUUCGAUCCUAUUUUGUUGGUUUUUAGGAUCAACGUAAUGAUUAAUAGGGAUAGUUGGGGGCAUUAGUAUUCAAUUGUCAGAGGUGAAAUUCUUGGAUUUAUUGAAGACUAACUACUGCGAAAGCAUUUGCCAAGGAUGUUUUCAUUAAUCAAGAACGAAAGUUAGGGGAUCGAAGACGAUCAGAUACCGUCGUAGUCUUAACCAUAAACUAUGCCGACUAGGGAUCGGAUGAUGUUAAUUUUUUAAUGACUCAUUCGGCGCCAAAC